RNAcentral lists this ribosomal RNA (640 nucleotides) under Rotylenchulus reniformis. RNAcentral describes it as "SSU rRNA". It matches the Rfam family "Eukaryotic small subunit ribosomal RNA", at positions 1003 to 1665 of the family's 1831-position model. Lineage: Eukaryota; Metazoa; Nematoda; Chromadorea; Rhabditida; Hoplolaimidae. The record is from RNAcentral.
GGCGAUCAGAUACCGCCCUAGUUCUGACCGUAAACGAUGCCAACUAGCGAUCCGCCAGUGGACUCAUCGCUCUGGUGGGGAGCUUCCCGGAAACGAAAGUCUUCCGGUUCCGGGGGAAGUAUGGUUGCAAACGCUGAAACUUAAAGGAAUUGACGGAAGGGCACCACCAGGAGUGGAGCCUGCGGCUUAAUUUGACUCAACACGGGGAAACUCACCCGGCCCGGACACCGUAAGGAUUGACAGAUUGAUAGCUUUUUCAUGAUUCGGUGGAUGGUGGUGCAUGGCCGUUCUUAGUUCGUGGAGCGAUUUGUCUGGUUUAUUCCGAUAACGAGCGAGACUCUGGCCUACUAAAUAGUUGACGCAUUGCCACUGUGCGCACAACUUCUUAGAGGGAUUUUCGGUGUUUUCAACCGCACGAAAUUGAGCAAUAACAGGUCUGUGAUGCCCUUAGAUGUCCGGGGCUGCACGCGCGCUACACUGGCAAACGCAACGUGCCUGUCCUGCCCCGAAAGGAGCGGGUAAACCCCUGAAAUUUUGCCGUGAUUGGGAUCGGACAUUGCAAUCUAUUGUCCGUGAACGGGGAAAUUCCUUGUAGGGGCGAGUCAUCAACUCGUCCCGAAUACGUCCCUUUCCUUUGUAA